RNAcentral lists this long non-coding RNA (1291 nucleotides) under Oryctolagus cuniculus (rabbit). RNAcentral's name for it is "lncRNA (ENSOCUG00000035254.1)". The record is from RNAcentral. Lineage: Eukaryota; Metazoa; Chordata; Mammalia; Lagomorpha; Leporidae.
UCCCCGGCCCGUCGGUCCCCGAGGCGCCGGCGGGCUGGCCAAAGGUCACCGGUGCAGACGGGGGCCACGGGCGGCCCCUCACCACCCGCUCGGGCUCUGCCUGGGGCCUCCUCCGACCGCAGCCCGCCUGUGCGCGCCGCCGAGACCGCUGGUGCGGUGUGACCCCCUUCCCUCCCGGGACCCCCCAGCUACCCCGCUGUCCCCGGGUUCUGGCCGCCGACAUCCAGCCCAAGCUGACACGGCCCCCGCCGCGCUCCCCGCUUGCUGUGCUUGGCUUUGGAGCGCUUUUCUGUGCGUGACACCUAUUUGUUUUUCCUGAGAUUGAUUUAUUGAAAGGCAGAGUGGCAGAGAUCUUUCAUCCGUAGAUUCACUCGUCAAAUGCCUGCAACACCCGGGGCUGAGCCAGGCGCAAGCCAGGAGCCAGGGACUCAGGGUCACCCGUGUGGGUGGCAGGGGCUCAAGGGCUUGAACUAUCAGGAAGCUGGCGUGGAAGGGGAGUCGCCGGAGCUCGAACCAGGCGCUCCGAUGCGGGAUGCGGGCAUCACCGCUCGCCUCACCUGCCGCACCGCAGCGCCCACCCCAUUAACUCAUUAACUGUCCUUGUCACCGACUGGAGUGCUCCAUGGGGGCGGGGACUGUGAAAGAACCGUCCCGGAAGGAGCGAGUGGGCAGAGAACUUCCCGCGUGGGGGACCCCGCACCGGGCGUCCCGCAGCAACCCAGUGGCCAACCCUGCGAAGCUGGUUUGUGGAGAGCCGCACAGCCUACUCCAGCGUUACAGACGCGAGACAGGCACCCUGCUGCCCCCGCGCGGGUGCCGAACCCUGUUCUCCCCAGGCACCUGCAGUCGGCCUCCAUCCAGGCUGCAGUGGCGGCCACGGCGCUUUUCUUUGUCCCCGCCAGGCUCCGCACUGUGGUGCAGCCGCAGUCCUGGGACGUGGGUCCCGGGCUCAGACGCAGACGCGGCGCGGGACAGCAGCGGAGACAGGGCGGAGCCCCAGGAGCCAGGGUGCCCGUCCCGCCCCGGGACCACGGGGGAGCAGCUCUGGGCCGAGCCCCGCACCCUGCGUGAGGAAGCUGCUCGUCCGGGAACUUUGGAGCUGUGUGACCGCAGGGAGCCGUCCUUCGGCUGCAGGAUGAGCGGCCAGAGCCCCCGCCCUGGCCUGGCAGAAUUACUAAGAGCAAGAGGGAGAGAGAGAGAUCUUCGAUCCCAAGUGGUGCUGGUUUGGGUCCUGGCUGCUCCACGUCUGGUCCGACUUCCUUCCGAUGGCCUGGGAAGGCAGGGGAGGUGA